This 982-nucleotide ribosomal RNA is filed under the name human gut metagenome. RNAcentral's name for it is "bacterial LSU rRNA". It matches the Rfam family "Bacterial large subunit ribosomal RNA", at positions 1934 to 2925 of the family's 2925-position model. The record is from RNAcentral.
CCGUAACUAUAACGGUCCUAAGGUAGCGAAAUUCCUUGUCGGGUAAGUUCCGACCCGCACGAAAGGCGUAAUGAUUUGGGCACUGUCUCAACAAUGCACCCGGUGAAAUUGAAAUACCAGUGAAGAUGCUGGUUACCUGCGCCAGGACGGAAAGACCCCAUGGAGCUUUACUCCAGCUUGAUACUGGGAUUCGGUAUUGCAUGUACAGGAUAGGUGGGAGGCUAGGAGAUGGUAACGCCAGUUGCCAUGGAGCCGCUGUUGGGAUACCACCCUUGCAGUAUUGGGUUUCUAACCAGCCGCCGUGACCCGGCGGUGGGACAAUGCCAGACGGGGAGUUUGACUGGGGCGGUCGCCUCCGAAAGGGUAUCGGAGGCGCUCAAAGGUUCCCUCAGAAUGGUUGGAAACCAUUCGAAGAGUGCAAAGGCAGAAGGGAGCUUGACUGCGACACCGACGGGUGGAGCAGGUACGAAAGUAGGACUUAGUGAUCCGGUGGUAUAAAGUGGGAUUGCCAUCGCUCAACGGAUAAAAGCUACCCUGGGGAUAACAGGCUUAUCACUCCCAAGAGUUCACAUCGACGGAGUGGUUUGGCACCUCGAUGUCGGCUCAUCGCAUCCUGGGGCUGUAGUAGGUCCCAAGGGUUGGGCUGUUCGCCCAUUAAAGCGGUACGCGAGCUGGGUUCAGAACGUCGUGAGACAGUUCGGUCCCUAUCCUCCGUGGGCGCAGGAGAAUCGAUGGAGGCUGCCCCCAGUACGAGAGGACCGGGGUGGACGCACCUCCGGUGAACCGGUUGUCGACCAACGGCACGGCCGGGUAGCCGCGUGCGGCGCGGAUAACCGCUGAAGGCAUCUAAGCGGGAAGCCGUUCCAGGGAUUAGUUCUCCUUCCGGUAAGGGCCCAGGUAGACUACCUGGUCGAUAGACGGCAGGUGCAAGGACGGCGACGUCCUCAGCCGAGCCGCACUAAUCGCCCGAGCUCUUCCGGAA